CAGCAUUUAAGUCGUGUUUUGCUUUAAGUAAACGACAUGAAAAGCAUACUAGAGCUGUUAUCCAGAUAACUAAUUUCCAAUGGUCAGAAGAAUGUGUUUAGGUUAAUUUGUUUGCUUGGAUAUUGCUAUAUACUUCUGUAUGUAAAUCUACCCUAUUUCUCUCCAUUUAUAGGAAAAGCAACUCUGGAGCAAACCAUGACAAUGUACGUCAAAGGAACUCUAGCUGAGUCACAAAGGUGACGAUGGAGAGCAGAGGGAACAAUUUCCAUGUACUUUGUUCCAGAAGAGAUCCUUAGUAUAUACCGGUCUUCUUUGUGCCACUCGGCAUCAAUCACCACCAUCGGCCUCCCCUCGUUCUUUCUGCUUGCUGUCAGAUUUGUAUUUUCAGUGUUCUCCUUUUUUAACAUGACAUUAAACUAGCUUUAUUAUGUUUAGAAGCAAAAAUAAGACCAUGUUGCUGCCUUGUGCACUCUAUUUUAUCAUCACUUCCUGACAGCUGAUCAGGUUGAGGCCAGGCACUUAAGUUGGUGCCUAGGCCAUCAGAUUGCUGUCUGGUAGUUAUGUUCUCUCAUUAUUACUACAAUAAAAUUUACCUUUUGACAUUGCCUUGUCUUACUGCUGGAGCAUGUUUCUUUCAGCAACUAAGCCAGCCUGUUUACUUGAGCAGGUUGUCCCCAUGCAUUAUAGUAACAUAUUUUGCGAUAUCUGUCCUUGGGUUUUAAGUGCAUCUUUUUUUUUUUUUUUAUAAAGCUAAUUCAAAAUGCCUGUUUAUUUACAGUUCUUGAUUUCCCAUCUAUAUGAAAGUACUGACAAGCCAUUGGUCUCUUACUAGAUUUAUAUGGCAUGUUUUAAGUACUGCCCUAUCACUGUAUGCACAAUGAGCGCAGCUUUGUGUAAAUUAUAAAAUUCCCCCUGUAUUAUGUAAUAUCUUAUUGUAGAUUGCCAUGUGUUGCGCAAGGUGAAUGACUGUUUUGUGUGGCUUUUUUUUCUUUUUUAGUUUAUGUGCAUGGAAGACUGAAUUGAUUUUUGGGUAAAGAAUAAUAAAGGGUAUGUUCAGCACAUUUUGAUUUAUAAGUCUUGGUUUUUCUGCAACACUGGAUUGUAAAAUUGUAUGUGAAGAAAAUUAAACAAAUAAAAUGUUUCUCCCUUUUA
Long non-coding RNA from Pelobates fuscus (common spadefoot toad), 1152 nucleotides. RefSeq lists it as uncharacterized. The record is from RefSeq and is a predicted model, not a curated record. NCBI's taxonomy places the organism in Eukaryota, Metazoa, Chordata, Amphibia, Anura, Pelobatidae. The transcript is spliced from 2 exons.